GAUGAACGCUGGCGGCGUGCCUAAUACAUGCAAGUCGAGCGAACAGACGAGGAGCUUGCUCCUCUGACGUUAGCGGCGGACGGGUGAGUAACACGUGGAUAACCUACCUAUAAGACUGGGAUAACUUCGGGAAACCGGAGCUAAUACCGGAUAAUAUAUUGAACCGCAUGGUUCAAUAGUGAAAGACGGUUUUGCUGUCACUUAUAGAUGGAUCCGCGCCGCAUUAGCUAGUUGGUAAGGUAACGGCUUACCAAAGCAACGAUGCGUAGCCGACCUGAGAGGGUGAUCGGCCACACUGGAACUGAGACACGGUCCAGACUCCUACGGGAGGCAGCAGCAGGGAAUCUUCCGCAAUGGGCGAAAGCUUGACGGAGCAACGCCGCGUGAGUGAUGAAGGUCUUCGGAUCGUAAAACUCUGUUAUUAGGGAAGAACAAAUGUGUAAGUAACUAUGCACGUCUUGACGGUACCUAAUCAGAAAGCCACGGCUAACUACGUG
This 497-nucleotide ribosomal RNA is filed under the name uncultured bacterium. RNAcentral's name for it is "partial 16S ribosomal RNA". It matches the Rfam family "Bacterial small subunit ribosomal RNA", at positions 28 to 507 of the family's 1533-position model. The record is from RNAcentral.